RNAcentral lists this unclassified non-coding RNA (543 nucleotides) under Didymella protuberans. Its description in RNAcentral is "sequence contains ITS1, 5.8S rRNA gene, ITS2". The stretch from base 181 to 334 matches the Rfam family "5.8S ribosomal RNA". Lineage: Eukaryota; Fungi; Ascomycota; Dothideomycetes; Pleosporales; Didymellaceae. The record is from RNAcentral.
GUAACAAGGUUUCCGUAGGUGAACCUGCGGAAGGAUCAUUACCUAGAGUUGUAGGCUUUGCCUGCUAUCUCUUACCCAUGUCUUUUGAGUACCUUCGUUUCCUCGGCGGGUUCGCCCGCCGAUUGGACAAUUUAAACCAUUUGCAGUUGCAAUCAGCGUCUGAAAAAACUUAAUAGUUACAACUUUCAACAACGGAUCUCUUGGUUCUGGCAUCGAUGAAGAACGCAGCGAAAUGCGAUAAGUAGUGUGAAUUGCAGAAUUCAGUGAAUCAUCGAAUCUUUGAACGCACAUUGCGCCCCUUGGUAUUCCAUGGGGCAUGCCUGUUCGAGCGUCAUUUGUACCUUCAAGCUCUGCUUGGUGUUGGGUGUUUGUCUCGCCUCUGCGCGUAGACUCGCCUCAAAACAAUUGGCAGCCGGCGUAUUGAUUUCGGAGCGCAGUACAUCUCGCGCUUUGCAUUCAGAACGACGACGUCCAAAAGUACAUUUUUACACUCUUGACCUCGGAUCAGGUAGGGAUACCCGCUGAACUUAAGCAUAUCAAUAA